Gallus gallus (chicken) is the source of this 1942-nucleotide long non-coding RNA. RefSeq lists it as uncharacterized. Lineage: Eukaryota; Metazoa; Chordata; Aves; Galliformes; Phasianidae. The record is from RefSeq and is a predicted model, not a curated record. The transcript is spliced from 2 exons.
AAAACAAAUCCUCCAAUUCCUUCUAAACUCUCACUUUUAAAUAUCUUCCUGCAGGUGAGGAUCCACCAGAUGGAUUUCUGAGUGCAGAAAUGGUGACUGCUGUUAACAGCUUCAGUUACCCCAGCUGCAUAUAACAAACAAGCAUGCAGAACUGAUAGAUAACAGUAAACAGAAAGAAAAACAAAGCACACGCAGAAGCAGUGCUGGUUUCUGCAAGAAUGAUGGAGCAGACUGAUCCUCUUUUCACUUUUAAUUUAUGUUACAUUCUUGUGAACAGUGUUAUGAAAAAAAAAGCCACACUGUCAGAUGAACUGCCAAGCCUUCUAGUUUACAUCGUGGUUGUGCCGCCAAAAGCCAAUCAAAAUAGCUGCAAAAAGAACCCCAAUCAGUUCAGGCAUCACACGCAUGUGAUAGGAAGUAGAAGGUGAUUAAGAACUCAUAAGCAACGUUGUACAGUAACAUACUUCAGUCAGAGAACUAAGAAGUAUCUUACAUGCAUGGAACACUGGAAGCAAAUAUGAAAAAUCAAAUUCACGGGAAUUUGUGGUUGAAACUGCUCACUGGAGCUCCUGAAGUUACCUGGCAGCCCGCAUAGUUACAGGCAGUUAAAACUCCAACAUGGGAACAUUGGUUCAAGAUGUCCCACAAAGAAAGACUGUUCACUUCCAGUGGAAAAUAUUUCUCAGCAGUUCCCCACUCACCGGCGUAGCAAAAAAAAAGUAUUACUAAAGUUACUCUUCUAUGAACGUGAUAGCAAAAUUCUACACAUGUGCAUCACUUGCAGUAGUGUUUAGACAACUAAUUCAAACUGGCUGCAAUGCAACAGCCUGCACUGAAAUGUAAUUUCACUAGAAAUGAAAACUGAAACUAAGACAGACAAGAACUAUGUCAAAGAAAUCUAAUGGAGUGCGCAUUCACCAGGAACCAGUUGGAUAAAUUGGUGCCAUUUACAGUACUUGCUUCAUCUGGUUAACACCACAGGGGCCAUUUUCGGAAGUACCUGCAGCGUUGAUUGUCAUUAGUAUAUAUAUAUUAGUAUAUAAGCAAAGCAAGCUGGUAAUUGUGCCUGUGGAAGACACCCCACACUUGAAAUGUUUGAAAUUACUUAUUGUCAAGAUGCAACGCUGAACUCUUUUGCCUGCUGAAUUGCUUUGCUUAAUGCAGCCACGUCCAACCCUGCAGCCUGGCACAGCUCGCGCUGUGGCCGCCCCUUGCCCCGCACCAUAUAUCAUGGCAGUGGCUCUGUCCCACUGAGCAGCCCGGUCCUGCCCUGGGCACUCACGCACUGCUACAACAACACAGCGGUGCGCAAUCAGAAUUGCCUGGGCUGGAACCAGGGGAAAGCACGCUGUCGUGCUGACUCCACCUCUCAUGCUCUUCACACACACUCAGUGGAAGUGGAAGCCGUGGGUAGUACACGUUACCUGUGCUUAAGCAUCUUGGCAAAUAGCACUACGCUUAAUUGGUAAGGAAAUUGCCUUAGUUUUCAGAGUUUACAAUUUAAAAAGACAUUAUGCGCAAAAACAAGCAGCCAAAUUCAAUGCGUAUCAAGGAAGGCUUUAGAGAUAAACUAGUGGAACUGACAAAAGUCUGUCACCUCAGCACGUUCUUCUUUAAAAAGCCCACGAUUACCAGAGAGAAAUAUCCCUCACUUCACAAUCACGCCUUAUUCAUGGCGUCACUUUUGGCAGCGCGUCCAUUUGUGAACAACUGUUUUCAAGGAUGAAGUGCAGGAGGAGUAAGAUUUCAAUAAAAAUCUCUGGCAAACACCUCGAGAGCUCACUAAGAAUUGCAGCCACUGCCACUGAACCAGUCUGAUGCAUUAGGAUCACAAAAACAGGGCCAAACAUCCCACUAGUGCUACUUUUUUCUUUUGCUAUGUUUUAAUAAAAAGUAUUUUAAAAGCCUUUACUUAUAUGCAUUAAAUAUACUAUAUAUUUUA